GUAGGGGGCAAGCGUUGUCCGGAUUUAUUGGGCGUAAAGAGCGUGUAGGCGGCUAGGUAGGUCCGUUGUGAAAACUCGAGGCUCAACCUCGAGACGUCGAUGGAAACCAUCUGGCUAGAGUCCGGAAGAGGAGAGUGGAAUUCCUGGUGUAGCGGUGAAAUGCGCAGAUAUCAGGAAGAACACCCGUGGCGAAGGCGGCUCUCUGGUACGUGACUGACGCUGAGACGCGAAAGCGUGGGGAGCGAACAGGAUUAGAUACCCUGGUAGUCCACGCCGUAAACGAUGGGUGCUAGGUGUGGGCGGUGUCGACUCCGUCCGUGCCGAAGCUAACGCAUUAAGCACCCCGCCUGGGGAGUACGGCCGCAAGGCUAAA
Molecule: ribosomal RNA, 373 nt
Filed under: uncultured bacterium
Lineage: Bacteria
Description: bacterial SSU rRNA
Rfam family: Bacterial small subunit ribosomal RNA
Source: RNAcentral